GACGAACGCUGGCGGCGUGCUUAACACAUGCAAGUCGAGCGGUAAGGCCCCUUCGGGGGUACACGAGCGGCGAACGGGUGAGUAACACGUGGGUGACCUGCCCUCAGCUCUGGGAUAAGCCUGGGAAACUGGGUCUAAUACCGGAUAUGACUCCAUGACGCAUGUCGUGGGGUGGAAAGCCUUGUGCGGCUGGGGGAUGGGCCCGCGGCCUAUCAGCUUGUUGGUGGGGUGAUGGCCUACCAAGGCGACGACGGGUAGCCGGCCUGAGAGGGCGACCGGCCACACUGGGACUGAGACACGGCCCAGACUCCUACGGGAGGCAGCAGUGGGGAAUCUUGCGCAAUGGGCGAAAGCCUGACGCAGCGACGCCGCGUGAGGGAUGACGGCCU
Molecule: ribosomal RNA, 389 nt
Filed under: uncultured bacterium
Lineage: Bacteria
Description: bacterial SSU rRNA
Rfam family: Bacterial small subunit ribosomal RNA
Source: RNAcentral